CAGCUGGACAUUUCUGAAGCUGCUAAACACAGACCUGCAUUUCAAAUCGAGGACUGCUUCCUUUUGCAGGUGCAUUGACAAGACUGAAAUCUCAGAGGAUGCAGAAAAAGGAGGUUUUUCAGGAGCAUGCACAAAGUGUUGAAAAUCACAAGGAUUUGUAGUCUUCAGUUAGAAAAGCAAUGUUCUUGGAGGAUCCUGCCCAGCCCCUUGAUGGGGUAGGAAUGUUGGAGACACAGCACUGUGCCAGUGCUCAGCAACACCCAAAACACCAGUGUGUUACCAACACCUUUCCAUCUUGUCUCCUAAUAUUCACUGGUAAGGACUUACAGACCAGCCUUGUCACCUAAAGGUUUAUUUGCAUCAUCAGGCUUUGGGUCAUCACUACAGGCCAGGUGUUCAAUGGUUUCUUUGUUCUGUUUUUUCCCUGUGGUCACAC
This is a long non-coding RNA of Prinia subflava (tawny-flanked prinia), 436 nucleotides long. RefSeq lists it as uncharacterized. The record is from RefSeq and is a predicted model, not a curated record. Lineage: Eukaryota; Metazoa; Chordata; Aves; Passeriformes; Cisticolidae. The transcript has 3 exons.